CUUCUCUUUAUGAAUUACCGAAGUUGAAGAAGAGCUGCAUGCGGUAUCUUGUGAAGUUUGGUAAGAUCUUUGAAAUGCGAGGGGAAUUUGAUGCUUUCCUGCAAUGUGCAGAUAGAGAAGUGAUUUCUGAAAUCUUCCAUGAAGUUCUCGCUGCCUGGAAAGGAUUCUGAAUGACAGCUGAUGGGGAAAAACAAAAGUUUAUAGCUUGUUUAAGCCCAUAUGCUGCAGUGCUAGUGCACAGAUUUGUUUCCCUGAACAAACAUUCUUUUACUGGAUGCAAUUAGUUUGUGUACAUGUACAGAAAUUGAUUCCAGUUCAGUUGAUAUUGCUCUUCUGAUAUUGGAUAUGUAUGUUCUUGAACUGAACUUGUCUACAAAUGCAGGAUGAUAGAAGGAUUUAUAUUCAGCAAACUACACUAGUCCAAGUACGACUGUUUAAUUUUGACAUGUGACCUAGGUGUACUUGUGGAACAGCAUAUGUUCUAGCUUCGCUGUAACCCCCAUAAAAAGGAAAAUAAAAAGUUCUGCUGCUUUCAAAUGCGUGAGACUGUAUUCAUGAAGAGCAUCUAAUUUGUCCUACUCGAUGCAUAUGAUCGAGUAAAGGCUGCUUCUAGACUAGAAAAAAACAGAGAUGAUUGAAGUUGUACUAGGAUUGAUCAAAGCAGCGACAUACUUGGGAACAUCAAAUGGCCAGUAAACCAUCACUUACAAAGCCUCUUUGACUAAAUAAAGAAAGGGGAAAAGGCCAAACCAUGACCAUACAAAUCUUAUUCACCGAAUCAUUCAUGCCAGAGUUGAAAUAGAUGAGGGUCAUUUCCAAACCUGAAAGUUCCUUACUUUUGCAACCCAAUAAUUCUGAGAGUAAUGUUGGGCCAUUAUUGAGGGAAUUGACUCUUAACUACCGUAUCUCAAGAACCUGAAGUGAAUGUUGACAGCGGCGUUCCGGCUAAAGCUGGGAAGGCUGUAGUCUUCGUCACGGUCAGGCUGGCCUCCCAGUUCAGUAACGUGGGAGAGGGACGUUAACUAAUACUAACUGGUACUACCAAUUCAGACCAGUUACUUUCAUUCAGUACCAAAUUAGAGGAUUUUUUUUGCCCCUUUUGCAUUGCAAAAUGAAUAUAGCACAGAAAAAUACAUAUAUUGAUGGAGUAGAUUUAUUGGUCACAAGUCACAAUCAAAACCACCAAGAAGUGGCCCCCUCUGGCGACUUCCAUAUUGUUAUAUCUUAUUAUAUAUAUAUUUUCUAAAUAAUUAGUGGUUGUUAGUUUUAGAAUAAAACGGCUUCUCUUGGUAGACUGGAAUGUAUUUACCAACAAGCAUAUCAGGACAUGUCACCAAACUUGAUAAUUUACGUGCGAGUGAUGGGCAGCACUUGCAUUACAAGUAGUCUAGGAGUAUGAUUUGUCACCCUCUAAAGAAAAAAAAAAGUAGUAUGAUUUGUCGGAAACCUUUACAGCUGAAGUGAUAGAUGGAUAGAAAGAUGAAAGAAAACCAACCAAAGCAAUCGCUAGUUUGUUUCUUCUAUCCGCAAUUUGCCCAAGUGAAAAUUGAAAGGAAAGGAACAAAACAAAAAAACUGCUGGAAAGAGAACCUGGUACAGUUUAAGACCCAAAAGGAACAGUAAAUUGGGGAAUUGAUUUACCUUUGGAAGACACAAAAAACUACGCCAACCUGGUGUCAGUUGCUUAGCUAAUUUCUUCCCCUGUUGUUCAGUGGCAUAUGUAUCCCACCAGAUGGAGAGUUUGAUCUGGGAGGAGUCAGGAACAACGUUAACGUGUUGAUCCCUGUGCUUUCAGACUGAGAACGUUUCUUUAUAUGGGAUUCACGGUCUCGAAUGGAUAGAAU
Molecule: long non-coding RNA, 1844 nt
Filed under: Coffea arabica (coffee)
Lineage: Eukaryota; Viridiplantae; Streptophyta; Magnoliopsida; Gentianales; Rubiaceae
Description: long non-coding RNA (CARA_LNC003632)
Source: RNAcentral